Molecule: ribosomal RNA, 501 nt
Filed under: uncultured bacterium
Lineage: Bacteria
Description: partial 16S ribosomal RNA
Rfam family: Bacterial small subunit ribosomal RNA
Source: RNAcentral
AUUGAACGCUGGCGGCAGGCUUAACACAUGCAAGUCGAGCGGGGGAAGGUAGCUUGCUACCGGACCUAGCGGCGGACGGGUGAGUAAUGCUUAGGAAUCUGCCUAUUAGUGGGGGACAACAUCUCGAAAGGGAUGCUAAUACCGCAUACGUCCUACGGGAGAAAGCAGGGGAUCUUCGGACCUUGCGCUAAUAGAUGAGCCUAAGUCGGAUUAGCUAGUUGGUGGGGUAAAGGCCUACCAAGGCGACGAUCUGUAGCGGGUCUGAGAGGAUGAUCCGCCACACCGGGACUGAGACACGGCCCAGACUCCUACGGGAGGCAGCAGUGGGGAAUAUUGGACAAUGGGGGGAACCCUGAUCCAGCCAUGCCGCGUGUGUGAAGAAGGCCUUAUGGUUGUAAAGCACUUUAAGCGAGGAGGAGGCUACUUUAGUUAAUACCUAGAGAUAGUGGACGUUACUCGCAGAAUAAGCACCGGCUAACUCUGUGCCAGCAGCCGCUGUAA